Xenia sp. Carnegie-2017 is the source of this 67-nucleotide long non-coding RNA. RefSeq lists it as uncharacterized. Lineage: Eukaryota; Metazoa; Cnidaria; Anthozoa; Malacalcyonacea; Xeniidae. The record is from RefSeq and is a predicted model, not a curated record. The transcript is spliced from 2 exons.
GUGUUUUAUAAACUGGAAACUACGACAAAGCUAUAGCGGUUCACGAAAAGCUCUAGGAAAUUCAAAA